GACGAACGCUGGCGGCGUGCCUAAUACAUGCAAGUCGAACGCACAGUUUAUACCGUAGCUUGCUACACCAUAGACUGUGAGUUGCGAACGGGUGAGUAACGCGUAGGUAACCUGCCUGGUAGCGGGGGAUAACUAUUGGAAACGAUAGCUAAUACCGCAUAAUGUUGAUUAUUGCAUGGUAAUUGAUUGAAAGAUGCUAUUGCAUCACUACCAGAUGGACCUGCGGUGUAUUAGCUAGUAGGCGAGGUAACGGCGCACCUAGGCGACGAUAGAGAGACGACCGGAGUGGGUGGGCAGCCGCACUGGGAGUGUGACAGGGCCCAGACGGCUACGGGAGGCAGCAGGAGGGCUACUUCGGCAAUCGGCGAAAGUCUGACCGAGCAACGCCGCGUGCGGGUAGAAGGUUGUCGGGUCGUAAAUCUCUGUUGUAAGAGAAGAACGGGUGUGAGAGUGUAAAGUUCACUCUGUGACGGUAUCUUAUCAGAAAGGGACGGCUAACUACGUG
RNAcentral lists this ribosomal RNA (505 nucleotides) under uncultured bacterium. RNAcentral describes it as "partial 16S ribosomal RNA". It matches the Rfam family "Bacterial small subunit ribosomal RNA", at positions 28 to 507 of the family's 1533-position model. The record is from RNAcentral.